GAUGAACGCUGGCGGCGUGCCUAACACAUGCAAGUCGAGCGAUUUACUUCGGUAAAGAGCGGCGGACGGGUGAGUAACGCGUGGGUAACCUGCCCUGUACACACGGAUAACAUACCGAAAGGUAUGCUAAUACGAGAUAAUAUACUUUUAUCGCAUGGUAGAAGUAUCAAAGCUCCGGCGGUACAGGAUGGACCCGCGUCUGAUUAGCUAGUUGGUAAGGUAACGGCUUACCAAGGCGACGAUCAGUAGCCGACCUGAGAGGGUGAUCGGCCACAUUGGAACUGAGACACGGUCCAAACUCCUACGGGAGGCAGCAGUGGGGAAUAUUGCACAAUGGGCGAAAGCCUGAUGCAGCAACGCCGCGUGAGCGAUGAAGGCCUUCGGGUCGUAAAGCUCUGUCCUCAAGGAAGAUAAUGACGGUACUUG
This 426-nucleotide ribosomal RNA is filed under the name uncultured bacterium. Its description in RNAcentral is "bacterial SSU rRNA". It matches the Rfam family "Bacterial small subunit ribosomal RNA", at positions 28 to 481 of the family's 1533-position model. The record is from RNAcentral.